CUCUGUGACUCCGUACGGGAGGCAGCAGGUGGGGAAUAUUGCACAAUCGGGGGAAACCCUGAUGCAGCCAUGCCGCGUGUGUGAAGAAGGCCUUCGGGUUGUAAAGCACUUUCAGUAGGGAGGAAGGUAGUGUAGUUAACACCUGCACUAUUUGACGUUACCUACAGAAGAAGCACCGGCUAACUCCGUGCCAGCAGCCGCGGUAAUACGGAGGGUGCGAGCGUUAAUCGGAAUUACUGGGCGUAAAGCGCAUGCAGGCGGCCUGUUAAGUCAGAUGUGAAAGCCCCGGGGCUUAACCUCGGAAUUGCAUUUGAAACUGGCAGGCUAGAGUCUUGUAGAGGGGGUAGAAUUUCAGGUGUAGCGGUGAAAUGCGUAGAGAUCUGAAGGAAUACCAGUGGCGAAGGCGGCCCCCUGGACAAAGACUGACGCUCAGAUGCGAAAGCGUGGGGAGCAAACAGGAUUAGAUACCCUGGUAG
This 476-nucleotide ribosomal RNA is filed under the name uncultured bacterium. RNAcentral describes it as "bacterial SSU rRNA". It matches the Rfam family "Bacterial small subunit ribosomal RNA", at positions 328 to 793 of the family's 1533-position model. The record is from RNAcentral.